CCCCUAGAUGUUCUGGGCCGCACGCGCGCUACACUGAACAGUUCAACAAGUCUUAACCUUGGCCGAUAGGUCUGGGUAAUCUUUGAACGCUGUUCGUGAUUGGGAUAGACCUUUGCAAUUAUGGGUCUUCAACGAGGAAUUCCUAGUAAACGCAAGUCAUCAGCGUGCAUUGAUUACGUCCCUGCCCUUUGUACACACCGCCCGUCGCACCUACCGAUUGAAUGGUCCGGUGAAAUCUCGGGACGGCGGCUUGGUCGCUUGCGUCCGACUGCUGAAACUUGAUUAAACCAUAUCAUUUAGAGGAAGGUGAAGUCGUANCA
RNAcentral lists this ribosomal RNA (320 nucleotides) under uncultured eukaryote. RNAcentral's name for it is "partial 18S ribosomal RNA". It matches the Rfam family "Eukaryotic small subunit ribosomal RNA", at positions 1470 to 1796 of the family's 1831-position model. The record is from RNAcentral.